RNAcentral lists this ribosomal RNA (428 nucleotides) under Lactiplantibacillus plantarum. Its description in RNAcentral is "bacterial SSU rRNA". It matches the Rfam family "Bacterial small subunit ribosomal RNA", at positions 76 to 495 of the family's 1533-position model. Lineage: Bacteria; Bacillati; Bacillota; Bacilli; Lactobacillales; Lactobacillaceae. The record is from RNAcentral.
UGAUUUACAUUUGAGUGAGUGGCGAACUGGUGAGUAACACGUGGGAAACCUGCCCAGAAGCGGGGGAUAACACCUGGAAACAGAUGCUAAUACCGCAUAACAACUUGGACCGCAUGGUCCAGUUUGAAAGAUGGCUUCGGCUAUCACUUUUGGAUGGUCCCGCGGCGUAUUAGCUAGAUGGUGGGUAACGGCUCACCAUGGCAAUGAUACGUAGCCGACCUGAGAGGGUAAUCGGCCACAUUGGGACUGAGACACGGCCCAAACUCCUACGGGAGGCAGCAGUAGGGAAUCUUCCACAAUGGACGAAAGUCUGAUGGAGCAACGCCGCGUGAGUGAAGAAGGGUUUCGGCUCGUAAAACUCUGUUGUUAAAGAAGAACAUAUCUGAGAGUAACUGUUCAGGUAUUGACGGAUUUAACCAAAAGCCACG